Non-coding RNA from Sturnus vulgaris (Common starling), 270 nucleotides. Lineage: Eukaryota; Metazoa; Chordata; Aves; Passeriformes; Sturnidae. The record is from RefSeq and is a predicted model, not a curated record.
CCCCGACUGGCACAUCGUGGACGUGGAGGUGACAGCGGUGGCCGAGGGUGGCCGCGCCCUGACUGUCACCAGCAGCCGCCGCAACCCCGCGGGGCCCGGCGAUGUCACCGGCAGUGCCACCCGCCACAGCUUCUGGAGCAGCGUGCAGGCCUGCACCGGACACGGAGGCUGCGUCAAGCUCUGCUGAGCCGGAAACACCGCCGAGGACACCUCGGGGACAUCUUGGGGACACUUUGGGGACAUUUUGAGGACAAUAAAACCCUGCCAGCA